AGGGCAGUGGCUCAAUUGGCAGAGCACCGGUCUCCAAAACCGGCGGUUGAGGGUUCGAGUCCCUCCUGCCCUG
Molecule: transfer RNA, 73 nt
Filed under: Actinomycetes bacterium
Lineage: Bacteria; Bacillati; Actinomycetota; Actinomycetes
Also listed under: 2 other names
Description: tRNA-Trp
Rfam family: tRNA
About the family: Transfer RNA (tRNA) molecules are approximately 80 nucleotides in length. Their secondary structure includes four short double-helical elements and three loops (D, anti-codon, and T loops).
Source: RNAcentral